This 508-nucleotide ribosomal RNA is filed under the name uncultured bacterium. RNAcentral describes it as "partial 16S ribosomal RNA". It matches the Rfam family "Bacterial small subunit ribosomal RNA", at positions 30 to 523 of the family's 1533-position model. The record is from RNAcentral.
AUUGAACGCUGGCGGCAUGCCUUACACAUGCAAGUCGAACGGCAGCGGGGGAGAAGCUUGCUUUUCCUGCCGGCGAGUGGCGAACGGGUGAGUAAUACAUCGGAACGUGCCCUGUAGUGGGGGAUAACUAGUCGAAAGAUUAGCUAAUACCGCAUACGACCUGAGGGUGAAAGUGGGGGACCGCAAGGCCUCAUGCUAUAGGAGCGGCCGAUGUCUGAUUAGCUAGUUGGUGGGGUAAAGGCCUACCAAGGCGACGAUCAGUAGCUGGUCUGAGAGGACGAUCAGCCAGACGGGGACUGAGACACGGCCCAGACUCCUACGGGAGGCAGCAGUGGGGAAUUUUGGACAAUGGGCGAAAGCCUGAUCCAGCAAUGCCGCGUGUGUGAAGAAGGCCUUCGGGUUGUAAAGCACUUUUGUCCGGAAAGAAAUGGCUCUGGUUAAUACCUGGGGUCGAUGACGGUACCGGAAGAAUAAGGACCGGCUAACUACGUGCCAGCCGCCGCGGUAA